AUUGAACGCUGACGGCAGGCCUAACACAUGCAAGUCGAGCGGAUGAAGGGAGCUUGCUCCUGGAUUCAGCGGCGGACGGGUGAGUAAUGCCUAGGAAUCUGCCCGGUAGUGGGGGAUAACGUACGGAAACGGGAGCUAAUACCGCAUACGUCAUGAGGGUGAAAGUGGGGGAUCUUCAGACCUAAAGCUAUCUGAUGUGCCUAGGUCGGAUUAGCUAGUUGGUAAGGUAAAGGCUUACCAAGGCGACGAUCCGUAACUGGCCUGAGAGGGUGAUCUGUCACACUGGAACUGAGACACGGUCCAGACUCCUACGGGAGGCAGCAGUAGGGAAUAUUCCGCAAUGGGCGAAAGCCUGACCGAGCAACGCCGCGUGAGUGAUGAAGGUCUUCGGAUUGUAAAACUCUGUUAUUAGGGAAGAACAUAUGUGUAAGUAAAUCUGCAUAUCUUGACGGUACCUAAAGAGAAAGCCACGGCUAACUACGUG
This 484-nucleotide ribosomal RNA is filed under the name uncultured bacterium. RNAcentral's name for it is "partial 16S ribosomal RNA". It matches the Rfam family "Bacterial small subunit ribosomal RNA", at positions 30 to 507 of the family's 1533-position model. The record is from RNAcentral.